ACUACCCUUUAUUCCAUAAAUACCUAAAAAUAUAUAAAUUUGCUGUAGUCUGCUAUUUAAGAUAUUCGCGUAGAACACAUUUAAAGUUUGAAACCUAUGAUAUAAAUAUGGUAGGGCUUACAGAGCAAAGCAUGGUCUAAGCCGCCAGUGCAUAGAAGAUAAAUACCCCUACAUGUAUUUUAGGUGUUUUGCCUUUUCAACCCCCGUUGUUUAAGUGCAAAACGAGCUGAAAGAUAUGGAAGCGAUGGGCGACGCACCGAAAUAAAAGGAUUUUAAAAUGGUCAUUUGAUAUGAAUUAUGCGCGCUGGUGCAAUUACAGAAUUUCGCCCCUCUGACGAGUUCGCUGCGGCAUGAACUCAGACUCGUAGACCACCUCAGCUGGGAAUUUUCUCCCUCCCGGACAGUGAUGCUUUUUUGUGACUGUGAUGUGUUUUGAAGAGGUGUUUCCGGCUGCUGUUUGGGUCGGGCCGGUGGACCUCUUUUGGCGCCCGCGACUUGGACUUCAUCGUUAAAUAAUUAAAUCAGCUGCUAGACUAAUAUAUUUCUCUUAAUUACCAGUUUCUCAUGGCUAGCGCGUACACAAGUGUCCCAGCCAUUUGGAUCCUAUUUUGUGAUUUAUGUUGCCGCGCUCCAAUAUCUACUAUAGCUGAUAAGUUGCAUAUGCAUUGUGUAAUGGAUUUUCGGGCCAAAUAAACCUACCAAAUGGGCUGGGAUGUCCGGAAUUGAUUUGAUGCUACAUAUGUCUACUUUGCUUAGAUUCCAGUUACAUAUUUGUCAACGAAAAUAGUAUACCUUUUUCCUCUACGCGUAACGGGUAUAAUAAGAUAAAGCUAAGAGGGAACAACAAUUGUAAAAUGUAAAACUCUUUUUACGACUUGUGAAAAUAAAUUUGUAUUGUGUGCUAGUAUUGGCAAUUUCUUUAA
This is a long non-coding RNA of Drosophila yakuba, 923 nucleotides long. RefSeq lists it as uncharacterized. The transcript is spliced from 2 exons. The record is from RefSeq and is a predicted model, not a curated record. Lineage: Eukaryota; Metazoa; Arthropoda; Insecta; Diptera; Drosophilidae.